UGUCGGCGUGCCUAAUACAUGCAAGUAGAACGCUGAAGAGAGGAGCUUGCUCUUCUUGGAUGAGUUGCGAACGGGUGAGUAACGCGUAGGUAACCUGCCUUGUAGCGGGGGAUAACUAUUGGAAACGAUAGCUAAUACCGCAUAACAAUGGAUGACACAUGUCAUUUAUUUGAAAGGGGCAAUUGCUCCACUACAAGAUGGACCUGCGUUGUAUUAGCUAGUAGGUGAGGUAACGGCUCACCUAGGCGACGAUACAUAGCCGACCUGAGAGGGUGAUCGGCCACACUGGGACUGAGACACGGCCCAGACUCCUACGGGAGGCAGCAGUAGGGAAUCUUCGGCAAUGGGGGCAACCCUGACCGAGCAACGCCGCGUGAGUGAAGAAGGUUUUCGGAUCGUAAAGCUCUGUUGUAAGUCAAGAACGAGUGUGAGAGUGGAAAGUUCACACUGUGACGGUAGCUUACCAGAAAGGGACGGCUAACUACGUGCCAGCAGCCGCGGUAAUACGUAGGUCCCGAGCGUUGUCCGGAUUUAUUGGGCGUAAAGCGAGCGCAGGCGGUUUGAUAAGUCUGAAGUUAAAGGCUGUGGCUCAACCAUAGUUCGCUUUGGAAACUGUCAAACUUGAGUGCAGAAGGGGAGAGUGGAAUUCCAUGUGUAGCGGUGAAAUGCGUAGAUAUAUGGAGGAACACCGGUGGCGAAAGCGGCUCUCUGGUCUGUAACUGACGCUGAGGCUCGAAAGCGUGGGGAGCGAACAGGAUUAGAUACCCUGGUAGUCCACGCCGUAAACGAUGAGUGCUAGGUGUUGGAUCCUUUCCGGGAUUCAGUGCCGCAGCUAACGCAUUAAGCACUCCGCCUGGGGAGUACGACCGCAAGGUUGAAACUCAAAGGAAUUGACGGGGGCCCGCACAAGCGGUGGAGCAUGUGGUUUAAUUCGAAGCAACGCGAAGAACCUUACCAGGUCUUGACAUCCCGAUGCUAUUUCUAGAGAUAGAAAGUUACUUCGGUACAUCGGUGACAGGUGGUGCAUGGUUGUCGUCAGCUCGUGUCGUGAGAUGUUGGGUUAAGUCCCGCAACGAGCGCAACCCCUAUUGUUAGUUGCCAUCAUUCAGUUGGGCACUCUAGCGAGACUGCCGGUAAUAAACCGGAGGAAGGUGGGGAUGACGUCAAAUCAUCAUGCCCCUUAUGACCUGGGCUACACACGUGCUACAAUGGUUGGUACAACGAGUUGCGAGUCGGUGACGGCAAGCUAAUCUCUUAAAGCCAAUCUCAGUUCGGAUUGUAGGCUGCAACUCGCCUACAUGAAGUCGGAAUCGCUAGUAAUCGCGGAUCAGCACGCCGCGGUGAAUACGUUCCCGGGCCUUGUACACACCGCCCGUCACACCACGAGAGUUUGUAACACCCGAAGUCGGUGAGGUAACCUUUUGGAGCCAGCCGCCUAAGGUGGGAUAGAUGAUUGGGGUG
Molecule: ribosomal RNA, 1461 nt
Filed under: uncultured organism
Description: SSU rRNA
Rfam family: Bacterial small subunit ribosomal RNA
Source: RNAcentral